UACGGAAUGUGCAAACGUUAUUCGGAAUCACUGGGCUUAAAGAGUCCGUAGGCGGCAUGUUAGGUGAGGUGUGAAAUCCCCCGGCUCAACCGAGGAAUUGCGCUUCAAACCGGCGUGCUAGAGGAAGAUAGAGGUGGGCGGAACUGAUGGUGGAGUGGUGAAAUGCGUUGAUAUCAUCAGGAACACCGGAGGCGAAGGCGGCCCACUGGGUCUUUUCUGACGCUGAGGGACGAAAGCUAGGGGAGCGAACGGG
This 253-nucleotide ribosomal RNA is filed under the name uncultured bacterium. RNAcentral describes it as "partial 16S ribosomal RNA". It matches the Rfam family "Bacterial small subunit ribosomal RNA", at positions 524 to 776 of the family's 1533-position model. The record is from RNAcentral.